This 1308-nucleotide long non-coding RNA is filed under the name Sus scrofa (pig). Its description in RNAcentral is "lncRNA (ENSSSCG00055024648.1)". Lineage: Eukaryota; Metazoa; Chordata; Mammalia; Artiodactyla; Suidae. The record is from RNAcentral.
UUUGGUCAGAAUAGGGAACUCCUUACACUUCCCAAGUCACUUCCCCUUCAGGGAAGGCUACGAUUUUACUUGCAUUAGAUAUAAAUUCCUGUUCAUGCAUUUAUUUGUCCGUGUUUGCACAGCUGCACCUGGGUUCGUGCAGCGCUCGUGAAUUUGCUGAUAAAGGCAAUUUUAGGCUGAGGUUUGAUUUCUAUCAGGUCAGGGAUGGAAUUUCACUUGCUGGUAUGAUGAACAUGUAACAUGUGCUAUUUGAUUAUGACGGUAAGCCUGCACACCUGUACGUGAUAAAACGUGUUUUCUGGGAGUUCCCAUGGUGGCUCCUUGCUUUCCCCACCUCGAAGCCCACCUUAGCUCAGCCUGCUUAAAACGGUAGAUGGUCUAAUUCCCAUUAAUUUACUAACAUCAAAGCCGCCAGGCCGCAGGGGACAGACUGCCAGCUCCCAGGGGGUUCUGGUCCCCCGGCUGUCGCGUGGUGGGCACCCGCCCACAUCUGGGGUGCGGUGGAGGUCGGCGUUCUAGCAGUCCCCUGAGCCAUCCCGUGCGUGACCCCCCUUCCCCGCCCGCACACUCUGCAGUUGAAGGGACAUGCUGCCCGAAGGCCACGGCCGCAGCCGACCCGUGGCCAGUGGCCCGGGGGGCCCGGGUGUGCGGACUCAGCCCUGUGGUUUCCAGGUGCCAGCAGAGUCAACCUGGUGCGGAUCCCAUCCACGGCCUCCAGCCCGCGGGACACAGCCCUGGCCGCCGUGAUCUGCAGCGCCCUGGCCACCGUCCUGCUCGCCCUCAUCAUCCUGUGUGUCAUCUACUGCAAGCGGCAGUUCAUGGAGAAAAAACCCAGCUGGUCCCUGAGGGCGCAGGACCUGCCGUACACCGGUUCUGAACUGUCCUGUUUCGACAGACCCCGGCUGGGCGCUUGUGCUCAGUGCCGCGGCAACUCGGCCCAGACCUGCGGUAAGUCUGCCCCCGGGCCCUGGGGGACCAGCGGGUCGCGGCCCCGAAGCUGCAGAGGCGUGCUCCUGCCUGGUUUUCCAGCGAGAGCCAAUCCGGUUCCAUCAUGCUCCCCAUCCCCUGACGGCUGGAAGGGUGGGGGUUUCUUCCGUUUUAAACAGAAAAUAAGCAUCUCCUUAAAAUUCUAGAAUCCCUCCGUAAGUUUUCAGGCAAGUUCGCCUUUAUUGCGUGGGGUCAAUUGAUGGAAAGUCCUAGGAGCCUUUUGUGGGGUGUGGGCGUCUGUCUCCUUUCUUGUCUGGUGGGUUCAAGCUGAGCCUGAGUGUGGCAAUCUUAGGGUCUUCUGGAAUUUCUUAAAGACGUCGG